This 510-nucleotide ribosomal RNA is filed under the name Legionella pneumophila. RNAcentral's name for it is "bacterial SSU rRNA". It matches the Rfam family "Bacterial small subunit ribosomal RNA", at positions 70 to 572 of the family's 1533-position model. Lineage: Bacteria; Pseudomonadati; Pseudomonadota; Gammaproteobacteria; Legionellales; Legionellaceae. The record is from RNAcentral.
CAUUGUCUAGCUUGCUAGACAGAUGGCGAGUGGCGAACGGGUGAGUAACGCGUAGGAAUAUGCCUUGAAGAGGGGGACAACUUGGGGAAACUCAAGCUAAUACCGCAUAAUGUCUGAGGACGAAAGCUGGGGACCUUCGGGCCUGGCGCUUUAAGAUUAGCCUGCGUCCGAUUAGCUAGUUGGUGGGGUAAGGGCCUACCAAGGCGACGAUCGGUAGCUGGUCUGAGAGGAUGACCAGCCACACUGGAACUGAGACACGGUCCAGACUCCUACGGGAGGCAGCAGUGGGGAAUAUUGGACAAUGGGGGCAACCCUGAUCCAGCAAUGCCGCGUGUGUGAAGAAGGCCUGAGGGUUGUAAAGCACUUUCAGUGGGGAGGAGGGUUGAUAGGUUAAGAGCUGAUUAACUGGACGUUACCCACAGAAGAAGCACCGGCUAACUCCGUGCCAGCAGCCGCGGUAAUACGGAGGGUGCGAGCGUUAAUCGGAAUUACUGGGCGUAAAGGGUGCGU